Long non-coding RNA from Eucalyptus grandis, 529 nucleotides. RefSeq lists it as uncharacterized. NCBI's taxonomy places the organism in Eukaryota, Viridiplantae, Streptophyta, Magnoliopsida, Myrtales, Myrtaceae. The transcript has 3 exons. The record is from RefSeq and is a predicted model, not a curated record.
UCAUUGAUUGUCUCGUGCGUCGUAAGAAGUUUUUCCUCCUACUGGGUUGGUGAUCACGGAGCUGAGGUCGGUUGAUCCUGAUUUUACUGCGAGGAUGGCGAUUAUAAACAGUGCGAGGAUGGCGAUUAUAAACAGUGCCGGUUUUGUUGGGUACGGGUGGUAUGAUUUUUCUUGCUUGACUUUUAUUAUAUAGAGAAUUUGGAAGGACAUGUCUUCAUAUGCAGGUGAUUGGAGAAGCUACCCAAAUGGAUUGUGUGAUCCCAUCUUCUGGACUUUAUGGUGCCCUGCUUCCUUGGAGUGUUUUUCAAUCUUCGGGAUAUCAAUUGAUCUUUACUAUAGUUCCGAUUUCCUCUGAUCAAGUCGCCUUCGGACGUGAGCUCCAACGUCGCCCUGAUCUGUACGGGCUUGUUUCGAUUGGGAGACCACACUAUUUGUGGAAUGACGUAAUCAACAAUUAAGCAAAAUAGGAAAAUUGCACAGGAAGUCCUGUCAAAUAAUGUGAAUGGCAUGCAGUGACGUCCUUUCGAUG